Molecule: long non-coding RNA, 1617 nt
Organism: Oreochromis niloticus (Nile tilapia)
Lineage: Eukaryota; Metazoa; Chordata; Actinopteri; Cichliformes; Cichlidae
Exons: 4
Source: RefSeq, a predicted model, not a curated record
GCAGAAAUGAUGAGGAUGAUGAUGGCAGCAGCAGCCGUUCUCCUCUGCUUACAUCCUUUACAAUUACUUCUGGUGCUGGGCGCUACAUUCAGACAUGUGGAGAGUGAACUGAGAGUCACAACUUUGUUGGCAAAGAGUUUGUGCCUUCCUACACAGCACACCCAGAACCGGUCGCAACAGCAAGCGGCAGGACUGAAGAACAUUUCCGAACCACAUUUCUCAUUUGGAAGAGUCUGAGACACGGACGUGAAGCGGAAAUCGGCACCCAAGCUGGGGACAGCUAUCCACUGCUGACAUCAGCUCUUCCAAGUAUGUGCAAAGAUGGAAGGCCAACACAAGGCUAGCAGUGUGGACCCCCAUAUCCUGAGUGCAUGCUGCCCACGGUCAAGGAGCCAAAAGCUUCAUUUUCAGCAGGUAACCAAAGCAUCUGAUGAGCCGUGUGGCUUGUAGAACUGUAGUGUGCAUUUGAGCCUGUACCUGUACCUUUUUCAGACUGCUCUUUGGGCUGGUUUCCACCUUUGCUGUUCAUAUUAAACACUCAAACUGUCCCCACUGGUACGGUGAUUUGUGUCAGCGUGUGGGAUUCUAGCCGGAAAAUUCAUCUUAUGCUAUGUUACCCAGUAACUGAACUAUUUUCUUUUGGAGUAAUGACCUCAACAAUGUUCACUAUCAUAGGCCACAGACUAUACCUGUUAUAGACAUCAGCCAACAUUAUUAUGCAUACUCUAUGUGUGCCUCUCUGUUUAUGCCUCACCGCCACUUUGUGGUCACUGCUCUCACCUGUGUGAACUAUGGUGUGUGACAAGAGUGAAACACAGCUGCUGGCGUGUGCUUUGGUGUUGUCAUGCACCUCUGGAUUCAACAUGACCGGGUUGGAGCCACAUGUGUGUGAGCGGGUCUGUGUUUCAGUGACAUAUCAGUGAUGCAGCACAGAGAUUCUGUGCAGAGCAACAGUGAGAAAAGAUGAGGAAGUGGAGGAAGCAAGAAGAAUGAGUUGAGUAAAGUUUGACUUAUCUGACUGUUUUGUUUAAUGCGCCUUAUGGUCCAAAAAAUAUGGUACAUUAAACCCUAUGGAAUAAAAAUAGGAUGCCAUUAAAGUUCAUAUGUGUGUGAAGGUAGACAAGUGAAUACUUUUGGCAGUGCAGUGUAACAAAAAGAACAAACUCAUUGGCCGAGGUAGGCCUCACUGACUUUCACUAUGGUGCCUACAAAAACUGGCCUGGUGUCGUUGUUUCAGAACCAUAAUCAUAUAUGUUGUGCAAAUGUGUGCUGCAUAGGAAAUGGAUUCAUAAAUAUGUGAAACAGUUGGACCAACUAUUAAAAACUGUAGCUUCCCUCUCUUGCCAGCAAAAUUCCCUCCAUUGCAUUACAGAACCUCAAGAUUCCUUCACUGCAGAGGUUUUUCCUACAUUUUGCCAUCUAAGGAAUAAAGCUCUCCAGCCUCAUGUGAUUCUGUGAUUCAUUAACUGACAGCACAAAGAUUAAAACAGAAGUGCUAAGCAGCCAACAAAAACUCUCAUUCAUUCAUUAAUUAAUUCAUUCAUUAGUUUGGUUAUAGGUGCAUACAGUAGACCUGUUUCAUCUCUGCUCACAGUAAAUAGAAGAUUAUUCUGUCGA